GGGUUGUGAGGUUAAGCGACUAAGCGUACACGGUGGAUGCCCUGGCAGUCAGAGGCGAUGAAGGACGUGCUAAUCUGCGAUAAGCGUCGGUAAGGUGAUAUGAACCGUUAUAACCGGCGAUUUCCGAAUGGGGAAACCCAGUGUGUUUCGACACACUAUCAUUAACUGAAUCCAUAGGUUAAUGAGGCGAACCGGGGGAACUGAAACAUCUAAGUACCCCGAGGAAAAGAAAUCAACCGAGAUUCCCCCAGUAGCGGCGAGCGAACGGGGAGGAGCCCAGAGCCUGAAUCAGUGUGUGUGUUAGUGGAAGCGUCUGGAAAGGCGCGCGAUACAGGGUGACAGCCCCGUACACAAAAAUGCACAUGCUGUGAGCUCGAUGAGUAGGGCGGGACACGUGGUAUCCUGUCUGAAUAUGGGGGGACCAUCCUCCAAGGCUAAAUACUCCUGACUGACCGAUAGUGAACCAGUACCGUGAGGGAAAGGCGAAAAGAACCCCGGCGAGGGGAGUGAAAAAGAACCUGAAACCGUGUACGUACAAGCAGUGGGAGCCUCUUUAUGGGGUGACUGCGUACCUUUUGUAUAAUGGGUCAGCGACUUAUAUUCUGUAGCAAGGUUAACCGAAUAGGGGAGCCGAAGGGAAACCGAGUCUUAACUGGGCGUUAAGUUGCAGGGUAUAGACCCGAAACCCGGUGAUCUAGCCAUGGGCAGGUUGAAGGUUGGGUAACACUAACUGGAGGACCGAACCGACUAAUGUUGAAAAAUUAGCGGAUGACUUGUGGCUGGGGGUGAAAGGCCAAUCAAACCGGGAGAUAGCUGGUUCUCCCCGAAAGCUAUUUAGGUAGCGCCUCGUGAAUUCAUCUCCGGGGGUAGAGCACUGUUUCGGCAAGGGGGUCAUCCCGACUUACCAACCCGAUGCAAACUGCGAAUACCGGAGAAUGUUAUCACGGGAGACACACGGCGGGUGCUAACGUCCGUCGUGAAGAGGGAAACAACCCAGACCGCCAGCUAAGGUCCCAAAGUCAUGGUUAAGUGGGAAACGAUGUGGGAAGGCCCAGACAGCCAGGAUGUUGGCUUAGAAGCAGCCAUCAUUUAAAGAAAGCGUAAUAGCUCACUGGUCGAGUCGGCCUGCGCGGAAGAUGUAACGGGGCUAAACCAUGCACCGAAGCUGCGGCAGCGACACUAUGUGUUGUUGGGUAGGGGAGCGUUCUGUAAGCCUGUGAAGGUGUGCUGUGAGGCAUGCUGGAGGUAUCAGAAGUGCGAAUGCUGACAUAAGUAACGAUAAAGCGGGUGAAAAGCCCGCUCGCCGGAAGACCAAGGGUUCCUGUCCAACGUUAAUCGGGGCAGGGUGAGUCGACCCCUAAGGCGAGGCCGAAAGGCGUAGUCGAUGGGAAACAGGUUAAUAUUCCUGUACUUGGUGUUACUGCGAAGGGGGGACGGAGAAGGCUAUGUUGGCCGGGCGACGGUUGUCCCGGUUUAAGCGUGUAGGCUGGUUUUCCAGGCAAAUCCGGAAAAUCAAGGCUGAGGCGUGAUGACGAGGCACUACGGUGCUGAAGCAACAAAUGCCCUGCUUCCAGGAAAAGCCUCUAAGCAUCAGGUAACAUCAAAUCGUACCCCAAACCGACACAGGUGGUCAGGUAGAGAAUACCAAGGCGCUUGAGAGAACUCGGGUGAAGGAACUAGGCAAAAUGGUGCCGUAACUUCGGGAGAAGGCACGCUGAUAUGUAGGUGAAGUCCCUCGCGGAUGGAGCUGAAAUCAGUCGAAGAUACCAGCUGGCUGCAACUGUUUAUUAAAAACACAGCACUGUGCAAACACGAAAGUGGACGUAUACGGUGUGACGCCUGCCCGGUGCCGGAAGGUUAAUUGAUGGGGUCAGCGCAAGCGAAGCUCUUGAUCGAAGCCCCGGUAAACGGCGGCCGUAACUAUAACGGUCCUAAGGUAGCGAAAUUCCUUGUCGGGUAAGUUCCGACCUGCACGAAUGGCGUAAUGAUGGCCAGGCUGUCUCCACCCGAGACUCAGUGAAAUUGAACUCGCUGUGAAGAUGCAGUGUACCCGCGGCAAGACGGAAAGACCCCGUGAACCUUUACUAUAGCUUGACACUGAACAUUGAGCCUUGAUGUGUAGGAUAGGUGGGAGGCUUGGAAGUGUGGACGCCAGUCUGCAUGGAGCCGACCUUGAAAUACCACCCUUUAAUGUUUGAUGUUCUAACGUUGACCCGUAAUCCGGGUUGCGGACAGUGUCUGGUGGGUAGUUUGACUGGGGCGGUCUCCUCCUAAAGAGUAACGGAGGAGCACGAAGGUUGGCUAAUCCUGGUCGGACAUCAGGAGGUUAGUGCAAUGGCAUAAGCCAGCUUGACUGCGAGCGUGACGGCGCGAGCAGGUGCGAAAGCAGGUCAUAGUGAUCCGGUGGUUCUGAAUGGAAGGGCCAUCGCUCAACGGAUAAAAGGUACUCCGGGGAUAACAGGCUGAUACCGCCCAAGAGUUCAUAUCGACGGCGGUGUUUGGCACCUCGAUGUCGGCUCAUCACAUCCUGGGGCUGAAGUAGGUCCCAAGGGUAUGGCUGUUCGCCAUUUAAAGUGGUACGCGAGCUGGGUUUAGAACGUCGUGAGACAGUUCGGUCCCUAUCUGCCGUGGGCGCUGGAGAACUGAGGGGGGCUGCUCCUAGUACGAGAGGACCGGAGUGGACGCAUCACUGGUGUUCGGGUUGUCAUGCCAAUGGCACUGCCCGGUAGCUAAAUGCGGAAGAGAUAAGUGCUGAAAGCAUCUAAGCACGAAACUUGCCCCGAGAUGAGUUCUCCCUGACUCCUUGAGAGUCCUGAAGGAACGUUGAAGACGACGACGUUGAUAGGCCGGGUGUGUAAGCGCAGCGAUGCGUUGAGCUAACCGGUACUAAUGAACCGUGAGGCUUAACCUUACAACGCCGAAG
Molecule: ribosomal RNA, 2923 nt
Filed under: Escherichia coli
Lineage: Bacteria; Pseudomonadati; Pseudomonadota; Gammaproteobacteria; Enterobacterales; Enterobacteriaceae
Description: 23S ribosomal RNA
Rfam family: Bacterial large subunit ribosomal RNA
Source: RNAcentral